AAAGGUUUAUGGUGGAUAUUUAGGUAUUUAGAGAUGAGGAAGGGUGUAGUAAGUGAUGAAAUGUUUUGGGGAGUUGAAAAUAAGUGUAGAUUUGGAGAUUUUUGAAUAGGUUAAUUUUUUGAAUUGUUGUUGAAUUUAUGGGUAGGUAAGAGAUAAUUUGGUGAAUUGAAAUAUUUUAGUAGUUAGAGGAAAAGAAAGUAAAAGUGAUUUUUGUAGUAGUGGUGAGUGAAAUGGGAGUAGUUUAAAUUGUGAAAAUGGGGUUGUGGGAGAGUAAAAAAAGUGUUGUGUUGUUAGGUGAAGUGGUGGAGUGUUGUAUUUUAGAUGGUGAGAGUUUAGUAGUUGAAAGUAUUAUUAGUUUAUGUUUUGAUUUGAGUAGUAUGGGGUAUGUGGAAUUUUGUGUGAAUUAGUAAGGAUUAUUUUGUAAGGUUAAAUAUUUUUGGGUGAUUGAUAGUGAAGUAGUAUUGUGAGGGAAGGGUGAAAAGAAUUUUUAUUGGGGAGUGAAAUAGAAUAUGAAAUUGUAAGUUUUUAAGUAGUGGGAGGAGUUUUGGGUUUUGAUUGUGUGUUUGUUGAAGAAUGAGUUGGUGAUUUAUAGGUAGUGGUUUGGUUAAGGGAAUUUAUUGGAGUUGUAGUGAAAGUGAGUUUUUAUAGGGUAAUUGUUAUUGUUUAUGGAUUUGAAUUUGGGUGAUUUAUUUAUGAUUAGGAUGAAGUUUGGGUGAAAUUAAGUGGAGGUUUGAAUUGAUUGAUGUUGAAAAAUUAGUGGAUGAGU
RNAcentral lists this ribosomal RNA (766 nucleotides) under Pseudomonas fluorescens. RNAcentral's name for it is "partial 23S ribosomal RNA". Lineage: Bacteria; Pseudomonadati; Pseudomonadota; Gammaproteobacteria; Pseudomonadales; Pseudomonadaceae. The record is from RNAcentral.